ACUCGUUUUUCCUUUCGUCUCCUCCGUCUCCUACCUCUGUCGCCUCUGUUAUCCCCAACCUCUUCCUCUCGGCUCUCUCUCCCAUAAGGCCGGCCACCACAAAGAGGUCGACAUCGUUCGGAGCUCUCUCCACCUUAUCUCCCCAACAGCCGCUCUCUCUUUUGUAUCCCCCACUUUAUCCCCCGGUGACGAAACAUCGAGACCGCAUCGGCCACCGACGAUGCAAGGAGGACGAAGCACGACUUCUUCCCAUCCCGGCCACCGGCGCUGCAAAGUCGAUGUUGCGGCGCAGCAUAAGCCGUCGUAGUUCUGCAAGGCGGGCUCGGCGCUGUGAGGCGGGAGCGCGGGCUGCUUCUUCGGUGGGCGGUGGAGCUACAACUCAACGGGCGUGCCGCUGCGCGGCGACGGCGGAGCUGCAACGUGGGUGGUGAGCGGAGGAGCUGCAACGCGGGUGGUGAGCGGAGGAGCUGCAGCGCAACGGCCAUGGUGUUGCGCGUCGGCGACGGAGACGCAGGGCAACGACCAUGGUGUUGUGUGCCGUCGGCGGAGCUACAGUGCAUGUCGGGGUGCUGUUUGGAACGCCCGUCAUGCUGCGACCCGGGUCUCACCACUGGUGGAGCUGCAUAGCAACACGCAUGGUGCUGCGAGUCUGCGACACAGGUUCGUCAUAGGAUUUCGCUGGUGGCAUCGAGGACCAUUGCAUUGCAGCUCCGGCGGCGUCGAGGACCGCUGCAUCGCAGCUCCAGCGGCGUCGAGGAACGCUGCAUCGCAGCUCCGGCGGCGGCGGCGGCUGCUGCAUCGCAGCUCCGGCGGCGACGCGUCCGCUGCGUCGCAGCUCUGACAGCGGCUGCUGCUGCAUCGCAACUCCGGCGGCCUUGCUGCAUCGCAGCUCCGGCGGCCUCGCUGUAUCGCAGCUCGGGCGGUGGCGUCCGUUUGCAACGCAGCUCCGACGAACUUGCUGUACCGCAGCUCGAGUGUCGUCGUGGCCGUUGCAUGGCAGCCGCUGCCUGCAUGCUGAUGGCCUGAUGGGCGUGCUUGGAGCGCCACUCUUGGGCGCUGCAUGGCGAGACAAAAUGAACGGCUAUUAUAUGCACAAUCGGACGGUUAUUAAGGCGGCUUAUAUUUGGGUGCUAUCAGCCGGCUUACGCCUAGCAUCGGCCCAUAUUUUAUCUCUCGGUUAUGAAACAGUUACACUUGGAAAAGCCUCGUAUUUUUGCCCAUGGUAGGUGAACCAGACAGUGAAAACUCCUGACCAUUCCCAAGUCAUGCCCAAGGAAAUUGCAUAUUCUAGCGGAGCAUGUAUCUAUCGGGUAAGAAUCUACCUUUCAUUCGCUUCAAGAUCCAUGCAUUUUGGACUGAUAUGCAUGCGGUAUUUUAUGUAUUUGCUUUCCUCUUAUCUGGUAUAGCAAUUUUAAGUCACGUCACAGGGUCCCAUCACCAUUUUAUCGGAGAGAAGGGCGUAAUGUGCAUGCAUGACUGCCAUUCUCCAUUCUCCUCGCAUGAAAAAUAUUUUUUUGAGCAUAACGCUCAUAUACACGCGCAUACACUCACCCUUAUGAAUGCACACACGCACACCCUACCCUAUGAGCACCUCCGAGAGACUGUGCCGGCAUAUUAUCUUGAGAUUUAAAUCCAGGAAUAAUACGAGCACCAGAAUUUGAACCCUGAUGGGUUGGGGAUACCACUGUCAACCUAACCAACUCAAUCACAAGUUGAUUCGCGCAUGAAAAAUAUUAAUAUUAAUUUUUGUAGUCUUUUCUUAUAUGAUUUAUAUAUUUCAAAUUAGAAUUUGGUUUCUUAAUUUUCUAUGUAUAUUUGAAAUCCCGAUGAUAAGAUCUUUCAAACAAGAUCAAUAUUGAAUAUAUUUUAAAUUUGUUUAAUUUUUGCUGUUUCACAAAAUUGGUUGGAAUUGAAAUGAGUAACAAAAUUUAACUAUUUUUCUAUUUAUUGAAAUUGAAAUGAAUUUUAUAUAUCAUUUUAUGUCAUACAUUUCAAUAACAUAGUUACCAGAUGUAUUUCAAUACCAAAUCACUUUGUUACCAGAUGUGUAUUGGAUGCUUCACUAUCAGGUUAAUUUCACGAUCAUAUCAAUUUGUUAGCAUAUGCUCAAAUUUUUGUACCAGAUGCAUUCAUUUAUCAUACCAAUUUUAGUACCAUAUUAAUUUCAGUAACAUGCACAUAUUUCAGUUUCAGUAUUAUUUAUUUUAUUAAUAAAAUUUAGUACAACAUCCAUUUCAGUGACAUAAAAGUGAAACGCAGACGAUAGAUUUCAAUACCACAGGCAUUCCAAUACCAGAUGAGUUUGUUACCGGGUGCAUUUCGAUACGAUAUGCUUCACUACUAAGUCACUUUGUUGGCAUUUGCAUUUCACUACCAGAUGCAUAGUAGACCAUUUUUUUUUGGAAAUACCAUACCACUUUCAGUACCACAUCCAUUUCAAUAAGAUGCAUCUAUUUUCAAUUUUAGAACAACUUUAAAAAUAUAUUUUGAUAUAUUUAGGUAUUUAAAAUAUAGUAAAAAUCAUUGAUUUUAGACAUUUUAUAUAUAUUAAAACUAGGGAGUGGCUACAUAUCAAUCGACUGACACAAGAAAGAGGUCAGUCGAUUGGUACAACUCUGGACAAUGCGGCAACCCAAAAGAAAUUUGACUGACCAAAGUUUGGGGUCAGUCAGUCAGCCCAACAAAAACAGCAGGCUGAAAGCUUUCUGUUUCUGUUUCUGUCUUCAGAGUUUAGCCCAGAAAAGAAAACGGGCCAGAACCCGCUAAGCUAAAGAUCCAAAUAACUGACAGCUCACUAUGUCGUCCUCCUUGCGACUUUGCUUUCUUCCUUGACUCCCACCCAGCCGCCACCAUGGGAGGGGAAACAAACCUUAGAUCUCCUGUUGUCUUCUGAUAAUUCUGGUCAACUUGUGCCGACGAUUCUUGCUCUGUGCAUACUUCUCCUCCAAUCCCCAAGAUCUGUCAGCAGGAAGAACAAAAUGAAGAAGAAAGAAACCUGGUGGUAAAAGUUCUUGUGGUCAGUCAAAGGUACCUAAAAUUGCACAUCAUUCUCAGCAGCAAGAAUACGGAGAGAUUGCAGAUAGAAGUCAUGACAACAAGGUGCUGAAAAAUUUGUAUCAAGGCAACAAACAUAUGCAGAGACUUAUAAAAUCAUUCAGUGGAAUUUCUGAGGAUGCACUUUUGGGAUAAAACUUUGCUCGACAAUAGGACCUACACCCCAUUCCUAGACAAAAAGAAUCAAUUCAACAGGAAUCAGAUUUGCUCCAUUUAGGAAACCAAAGUUUGCAUACGAGUAAUGACAUGCUAGUACCACAAGGAGCGGCACAGUCUUACACAUAACUAAUGCAACAAAUGACAGUCAUGAGUCAUCUACAAAGCGACAACAUGGCAAUACCUAUAAGUAGUUUCACACCAUUCUUGACUGCGGGCAUAAAUUUUGAGCAUCAAGCAGCAGGACCAAGUGCAAGGAACAAUUGGCAACAACUUAAUGAUUGGGGACCAUAUUCUGUACCUUUAGACGAAGAGCAUGAAGAUGAUGCUGAAGGUAACAAUGAAGAUGAAGCAAAUCAUAGUGAGACUGAAUCUGGUGGUGAGCAUGAAGAUGACGAUGAAGGUAACAAUGAAGAUGAAGCAAAUCACAGUGAGACUGAAUCUGAUGGUGAGCAUGAAUUUGACUGCAACAGUGAUGAGAAUCGAAGUUAUCCAGAUGAAGCUUACAUAGAGUGCACUAGUGAUCAAAAUGAAACUGAUGCGGAGGAAGAUUUCCUGGAACAAAAUACGUUAUCCCGUGAUCAGUUUUUGGUGGAACACCAGCAUUCAGAGCUGCAAGAGUUGGAGCAAAGUUGGAACUAUUAGGAUUCAGUCAUUGAGCAGCAAAUGAUGACAACUGAUCAAGAAGUAAAAGUAAGGAGCUCUGAAGUAGCAUUGCAAGGCCCUGAUUAUGCAGAAACAACUGAUACAAAUGGCACUAGUGGCAGCGAUGAUUCAGAGUUUGAAGCAGAGCAGCUAAAAGAGGUGGAACAAGAAACAUAAAACUAUGAAAUAGAUAACAGUGCUGGUUAUGCACAAUCAAAUGAAGAGGAUCAGAACGAAACUGUUAGUCCAUCAGGCAAGGAUAGUCCAUCAGGCAAGGAAAAAAUUGUAGGAACUAGUAAGGAGCAGAUGAAAGAUGAAAACAAGUUAUCUCAGGAAGGUAUAGAAUUCUUCCUUGAGAAUGACAGCAUUAAAAAGGCAAUUAAAUUAAGCCAAGAAGAUGAGAAGAAACACAUGCCAGCUCUUGGCAUGACAUUUGAAAGUGAUGCUCAUGCACACCGAUUCUACAAUGAAUAUUCAGCUAUUGCUGGGUUCUCAAUUCAGAAAGCUGCAAACUAUCACUGCCAGAAAAAAGAUGCACACAACAACAAAAUGACGAGGUUCACUAUGAAGUGUAACAGAUCUGGUAAACCUAGGAUAAGGAUAAAACCAACAGCUGCAGGAGCAAAAAGGAGAAAGUAUAAGACUGCUAAGAAUGCACCAACUGAGCUAGAGAAUACGACAGACAGAAGAAGAAACUACACAAUUAAAACAGACUGUCAAGCUCAGAUGGUUGUUAUCUGGAAAUUCGAUAUAGCACAGUGGGUGGUGACAAGGCUUAUCAUUGAGCACAACCAUGAUCUACACCCACCAGGGGAAGUCAGGUUCCUUAGGUCACACAAAUAUAUCACUGAGCAAGAGAAGGACUUAAUCAGAACAUGCAAACGAGUGAACAUACCAACUAGAAAGAAAAUGGCAAUAAUGGCGUUCUUUCGAGGAAGAGAGCCUUCUUCGUUGCCAUAUACAGCAAAACUGAUUAGCAGCAUGGGCACGAAAAUGAGAAGAGAUAAUGGCUUGAAUGACAUGAUGCAGGUGGUCUCAUUUUUUGAACAGAAAAAAUCAGAAGAUCCUCUGUUCUUCUACUCAUUCAAAACCGAUCCAGCUAAGAAUGUCAUGCAUAUAUUUUGGGCAGAUGGCACUGGUAUAAGGAACUAUCAACAAUAUGGUAAUCUCCUAAGUUUUGAUACAACUUACAAAACAAACAAGUAUAAUCUAAAAUUUGCUCCAUUUGUGGGUGUAAAUGGACACGGAGACAACUGCCUCUUUGCAUGUGGUUUCAUACAAGAUGAGAAGAAGGAAACUUUCGAGUGGUUAUACAAACUUUUCUGAAGUGCAUGGGAGGGAAAGCUCCAAAAUCUGUGAUAACAGAUCAAGAUGCAGCUAUGAAAAAGGUAGUGCCUAAGUGUUUUCCUAGUUGCACGCACAUGAACUGUUUGUUCCACAUUCUAACAAAAGCGCAGAACAAAGCUAGAAGAACAUUUGCAAGGAACCAACAUUUGAACGCUCAGUUUCAUGACAUAAUCCUAAACUCACAAACAGUUGAGUAUUUCGAGCACCUCUGGCCCAAGAUGAUACAGCAACACAAUGUUCAACAUAUCAAGUACUUCAGGAUUAUGUGGAAAAACAGAAAGAGAUUUGUACCUGCGUACUUCAAAAAUGACUUUUCCCAUUCAUCCAGACAACAUCAAGAAGUGAAGGAACAAAUGAUGUAUUCAAAGCAAAUGUAGGGUCAAGUCAUAGUGUGAUUGCUUUCAUGACAGAGUUUGAUAGGAUAUCACAAAGUAUUGAAGAAAAAAGAAAAUAAACUGAUUCAGUAACAAGGAGAACUUCUCCAACUAUGUGGAGUGACUGGGCAUUGGAAAAGCAAGUGGCAAGACUAUAUAACAGAGGCAUAUUCUACAAAUUUCAGCAAGAGUUAAUGAAUUCAACAAAGUUUCACAUGAUGGAAGUGGAAAAGAACAAACAGUAUGAGGUGUACAAGUCACCGACUCAAGCACUGUUUGACUAUAACCCAAGAACAUUCAUAGUGGUUGUUGACACAGAUUCUGAAACUAUUUCAUGUGUAUGUAGGAAAUUUGAGAAGGAUGGCAUUCUGUGUUGUCAUGCACUCAAAGUCAUACAAGCAUUGAACAUUGAUGAGUUACCAGAAAAGUAUUUCAUUGAUAGAUGGAGACCUAAGGAAAAAAGAGCAUUUCAAGGUAAUGAAGAAGAUGCAAACCUUGAAGAUUCGGAUGAGCAAAUGACAUUCUUCUCAUUUUCAAGAAGGCUAGUUCAGCUAGCUUCUGAGGCAUAAAAAAUGCUGCAAGGAGGAAAGUGUUAAACGAGAAAAUAGGAAAUCUGGAGAAGUUAAUUUUAGACAUACCUUGCAUGCCAGGAUUGGAGCAAUCGAAAUGUUCUGCUUCAGAUUUAACACCUGUCACUCGGGAAGUGUUGAGUUCUGACAGCAAGGGUGAGAACACUCUAAAGGAUCCAAUAUACAGCAAACCAAACGGGAGAAUGAAGAAAACAGGGAGGCAGAAAAGUAUAGUAGAAGAAAUCAUAUCAAAGCCUAAAGUGACUUGUUCGGGGUGCAAGAAACAAGGACACAACAUUACAGGGUGCAAGCAAAUAGAACAAGAGUCGCCAGAAAAACCUCAAAAAACAGCCAGGAGAAAGAUUGCAAAGCAAUGUAAAGAGAAGACCGCAAAAAAAACAUAGAUGAAAAAGCAAGGAGUAAUACAUAUUCAUGAAAUGAGGAAAGAAGAAGAAAAGGAUGCUCAUGGCGUGAAUAAACAUGAUUGCAAAGCAAAAGGUGAAGAUGUGUGAAAAGAAGAUCAAGAACAGGAGCAUUUGUUAUUGUGCCCAAAAAUUUGCAUAAUUUUUGUAUGAAAUGAUGGAAAUGUAAUUUAAGCACUCUCAAAUGAUUUCGAUUCUUUUUACUUGCUUACUAAAUUCAGG
This 6789-nucleotide ribosomal RNA is filed under the name Triticum aestivum (bread wheat). RNAcentral's name for it is "partial small subunit ribosomal RNA". Lineage: Eukaryota; Viridiplantae; Streptophyta; Magnoliopsida; Poales; Poaceae. The record is from RNAcentral.